Molecule: long non-coding RNA, 517 nt
Organism: Herpailurus yagouaroundi (jaguarundi)
Lineage: Eukaryota; Metazoa; Chordata; Mammalia; Carnivora; Felidae
Exons: 4
Source: RefSeq, a predicted model, not a curated record
AUCUGCUCGGACGCUGGAGCCGAGAUCAGCCCCGAGAGCUUGGCCGCCCCCGUGAGCGCGAAGAAGCCACCCAGCAGGACGCGCAGAGCGGCGAGCCCGAGCGCCAUGGCCGCGCAGUAUGACUGAGUAGAGUCAGACUCCAGGAGUAACCAUCUACACGUGCCUCGCAGAAGACCGGGGUUUCCUUCCAGCCUGAGCCACCCUAGCUUUGGGAUCUGAGCUGCCACCUAACCUCUUCGGGCCUCACUAUUUGCAUCUGUAAAAGCGAUUAAGCCUGUUCUCUUUAGGAACAGGCCUAGCACAAUGUCUGGCACCUAAUUUCAUUGAAGAUUUUUAAGCAGUGGAGUGACACAAUCUGAUUUAAAAUCAUUCUGCUAACAAUGUGGAGAAAAAAAAUGCAAAGGGCAAGAAUGCAAGCAGGAAGACAGGUGGGCCAGAGUCUACUCCAGAAUUUCUCAAAGAAUGGUCCAAGAAAACUGGGCAUCAAUAUCACCUGGGAUGCCUGAGAAAGGUAAGG